AGGUGCCACUGUCCCAGGGUUCAUUUUUUUUUUAUGCAAUUGUUUUCAUAGCAACUGUUAUGGGAUCUUCCAUAGUUUAAUGAUCUAAGGUGGGAAGUAUUUACCACUCUCCUGAACUGUGCUAUAGUCUCUGAGAGACCACAAGUACUUUGUCUCCCUUAGAACUAAAUCUGCUUACUCCUGUGGCAAAUGGUUGUGUGUUAGUUCUUCUCCUUGCCUUGGAACUGCAACCCAUGGUUGUUACCCAGAUCUGUGUAUGGGCAAUGCAACAGAGUCCUGCAACCUCUCUAAUCUCCUUGGAUGACUUAUCUGACCCCUUUACAAUGUAAGGGCUGAAAGCUCCAAAUGUUGCUGCUGAUGAUUCAUUUGCCCCCAAGGCUGGUAACUGGCUUAUAGAGGGAAGACCUGCCCUGGUGCAUCCUGCAGUGAACUAUACUCCACUCUCAUAUCAGUCUUUUUGUGAAAAAAAGGAAGAAAAGGGAAAAGAAGAGGAAGAACAGGAAGGAGGAGGAGAAAAGCAAGAACAAGAAGGAAGAGUAAUAGUUUUCGUUUGCACUCAGACUCAAUAG
RNAcentral lists this long non-coding RNA (569 nucleotides) under Monodelphis domestica (gray short-tailed opossum). Its description in RNAcentral is "lncRNA (ENSMODG00000036032.2)". Lineage: Eukaryota; Metazoa; Chordata; Mammalia; Didelphimorphia; Didelphidae. The record is from RNAcentral.